Molecule: transfer RNA, 61 nt
Filed under: Ictidomys tridecemlineatus (thirteen-lined ground squirrel)
Lineage: Eukaryota; Metazoa; Chordata; Mammalia; Rodentia; Sciuridae
Description: Spermophilus tridecemlineatus (thirteen-lined ground squirrel) tRNA
Rfam family: tRNA
About the family: Transfer RNA (tRNA) molecules are approximately 80 nucleotides in length. Their secondary structure includes four short double-helical elements and three loops (D, anti-codon, and T loops).
Source: Rfam by way of RNAcentral
UGUAGCUCAGUGGUAGAGUGCUUGCCUAGCAAGUGUGAGGCCCUGGGUUCGAUCCUCAGCA